Molecule: ribosomal RNA, 169 nt
Filed under: Pseudostegophilus nemurus
Lineage: Eukaryota; Metazoa; Chordata; Actinopteri; Siluriformes; Trichomycteridae
Description: partial 12S ribosomal RNA
Source: RNAcentral
AUGCUUAGCCCUUAAACCCAGAUGUUAAUAUAAACAUCCGCCAGGGUAACCUACGAGCACAGCUUAAAACCCAAAGGACUUGGCGGUGCCUCAGAUCCACCUAGAGGAGCCUGUUCUAGAACCGAUAACCCCCGUUGAACCUUACCAUCCCUUGUUUAUCCCGCCUAUA